This 872-nucleotide ribosomal RNA is filed under the name uncultured Flavobacteriia bacterium. Its description in RNAcentral is "bacterial SSU rRNA". It matches the Rfam family "Bacterial small subunit ribosomal RNA", at positions 74 to 940 of the family's 1533-position model. Lineage: Bacteria; Pseudomonadati; Bacteroidota; Flavobacteriia. The record is from RNAcentral.
AUUAGCUUGCUAAUCCGCUGACGAGUGGCGCACGGGUGCGUAACGCGUAUACAAUCUGCCUUUAAGCGGGGAAUAGCCCAUGGAAACGUGGAUUAAUACCCCAUAGUAUGUAGACUUCACCUGGAGACUACAUUAAACAUUUAUGGCUUAAAGAUGAGUAUGCGUCCUAUUAGUUAGUUGGUAAGGUAACGGCUUACCAAGACGGCGAUAGGUAGGGGUCCUGAGAGGGAGAUCCCCCACACUGGUACUGAGACACGGACCAGACUCCUACGGGAGGCAGCAGUGAGGAAUAUUGGACAAUGGAGGCAACUCUGAUCCAGCCAUGCCGCGUGCAGGAAGACGGCCCUAUGGGUUGUAAACUGCUUUUAUACGGGAAGAACCACAUCUACGUGUAGAUGCUUGACGGUACCGUAUGAAUAAGGACCGGCUAACUCCGUGCCAGCAGCCGCGGUAAUACGGAGGGUCCAAGCGUUAUCCGGAAUCAUUGGGUUUAAAGGGUCCGUAGGCGGGAUAAUAAGUCAGUGGUGAAAGUCUGCAGCUCAACUGUAGAAUUGCCAUUGAUACUGUUGUUCUUGAAUUAUUAUGAAGUGGUUGGAAUGAGUAGUGUAGCGGUGAAAUGCAUAGAUAUUACUCAGAACACCUAUUGCGAAGGCAGAUCACUAAUAAUAUAUUGACGCUGAGGGACGAAAGCGUAGGUAGCGAACAGGAUUAGAUACCCUGGUAGUCUACGCCGUAAACGAUGGUUACUAGCUGUUCGGCUCGAUUGAGAGCUGAGUGGUUAAGCGAAAGUGAUAAGUAACCCACCUGGGGAGUACGUUCGCAAGAAUGAAACUCAAAGGAAUUGACGGGGGCCCGCACAAGCGGUGGAGCAU